Molecule: long non-coding RNA, 1964 nt
Organism: Pan troglodytes (chimpanzee)
Lineage: Eukaryota; Metazoa; Chordata; Mammalia; Primates; Hominidae
Exons: 8
Source: RefSeq, a predicted model, not a curated record
ACCACAAUGACCUUCACCCCAUAGUGUCUAGUAUAGAGCUAUGUUACAUUGAAUGGCAAAAGUGACUUUGUAGAGGUGUCAUUUAUCCGGAUGCUGCAUGAUUAAGACCACCAUACUCUUACCAAGCAUACAGGUGUUAAUGUCUAUUUUAAAGAGGAGAGAACUCAAGAAGUUCUGUAGAAACUGCUUUCUUCAUCACAUCUCAAAGGAUUUGCUGAGGAUUUCAGAGCUGCCACGAGUUGAGAGAAGACUUCGGACAUUUCACUUAAUGCUGAAAAUUCACUCUACUGCCACUACUCAGGACUUCUGAUGGGCAUGAAAAUCCAAGCCUGCUUUAUGAUAUUAACCUCUGAAUUUCAUACACCGCUUAAAACUUUAGAAUGUCCAGAAAAUAGAUGACUUGCCCAAGAUACUAUAACUAGUGAAUUACUGAAGUUAGACUUAAACCAAACUGUUUUAUGAGUGAAUAGACAACCUACAGAAUGGGAGAAAAUACUUGCAAGCUAUGCAUCCAACAAAGGACUAAUAUCGAGAAUUUACAAGGAACUCAAACAAAACUCAACAAGAGUAAAACAACCCCAAUAAAAAGGAAAGUGAACACAUUUGGAAAUAUUGGAUCAGCAUUGCAGCUAUACCCUUUAGACAGGAAACACACUUUCCAGUUCUCCUUGACAGAGAGGCUGAAGCUGCUUAUGUGUCCGGAAUUGGUGGGUUCUUGGUCUCACUGACUUCAAGAAUGAAGCCACGGACCCUUGCGGGACUGGGAUGUGGACAUCUUGCCGGUGAGAAGGAGGAUUAUUCUGUCUACCACAACAUUUAUAGAGGACUUGAUAUCUAGUAAGAAUUCAAAAAUAUUAUGAACAUAUUGAUGUCAGAAGAGCUUAGAAGUGAAUUUGGCUCUUUGUAACUGUGAACUGUGGGCUCUUAAUAGUUUGAGAUAAUCAAUCAUUUGAUUUCUCUUUUUGAAAUCCCUGUAAGAUAGGAGUAUGUAUGGAUACCUUAGAAAAUCAAGAGGAUAUUCUGACAUAGUAUAUUUAAAAUAGUUGUAAUUCAUUUAUACAUUUACUUGAAUCAUAUUGUGUACAUUAGCAACAGCAAACAUGUUGGUGGGUAAUGACUAGGGGCAGACAGGGUGGCUUUAAAUAGCAAACUAUGGCACAUGAAUUAAUUUAUUGCCAAAAAGCACUACGUGUAUACAUACAUACACACAUUUGUGUAUGUAUACGCACUGUGAUAAGUAAUGGCACAAAUUACAGCAAUAAUUGGUAGCUGAGAGCUAUGUAACAGAUGUCAAGAUUAAAGGGGACUAAAUACAUUGGGGAUUCCCUGUUUAACCAAUGGGUUUAAUUAAAAGGUUUGUUGACUUUUUAACUUUGUCAGCUAUUUCUUGCUCAGUAAUUAAACAGAAUCUAGCUAAUUCCUUUGAGGGUGUUUUUCAAAGCCUAAUAAAAACAUGUAUCAUUUGUAAUCAACUUUUAAUGUUAGUAUUAAUAUAAGUGUAAGGAACAUGGCUGUGCUUUGGUCAAGGAAUAGGCUGAGGCAGACAUCUGGGCCAGAGUGACUCAGCAAGUUUGGAAAGCAGGUGCACAAUUCCAUGUAUAAUGUAAACACAGCCAUGUAGCCAUGGCAUGAGAAGACUCGUCAUUUGGCUCUACGCCAAUAUUGUCUGUAAAAGGUAUAAUUUGCCCUGCUGACAUUGUACAGGCACGCUUAUGCCCAGAGAAAGAGAGAGUCAGAGUUGUCCGUCUGUGCAGAAGACAGGGAGCCAGGACACAGCUCAGCUCACUCGGUCCCAACGAGAGAAAGAGUUAAGCUGCUGACCCUGAAGGCAAGGGAGAGCCUGCCAGGCAGCUGUGUGUGGGAGCUGCCAGACUAAGCAGCUGAGACAAGGUGGACAGUGUGAGAGAACUAGUGUGAGUGAGAUGCUGAUGGGAGAGCUGCUGAAUAAAACUACAUUUCACCUG